CCUACGGGUGGCAGCAGUAGGGAAUUUUUCACAAUGGGCGAAAGCCUGAUGGAGCAACGCCGCGUGCAGGAUGAAGGCCUUCGGGUUGUAAACUGCUUUUAUAAGCGAGAAAUAUGAUGGUAACUUAUGAAUAAGGAUCGGCUAACUACGUGCCAGAAGCCGCGGUCAUACGUAGGAUCCGAGCAUUAUCCGGAGUGACUGGGUGUAAAGAGUUGCGUAGGUGGCAUAAUAAGUAGCUAGUGAAAUCUGGUGGCUCAACCAUUCAGACUAUUAGCUAAACUGUUAAGCUCGAGACCGUUAGGGGUAACUGGAAUUUCUAGUGUAGGAGUGAAAUCCGUAGAUAUUAGAAGGAACACCAAUAGCGUAGGCAGGUUGCUGGGACGGUUCUGACACUAAGGCACGAAAGCGUAGGGAGCAAACGGGAUUAGAUACCCCUGUAGUC
This 442-nucleotide ribosomal RNA is filed under the name uncultured bacterium. RNAcentral's name for it is "partial 16S ribosomal RNA". It matches the Rfam family "Bacterial small subunit ribosomal RNA", at positions 338 to 795 of the family's 1533-position model. The record is from RNAcentral.